GGACCCGAGGCGACGCAGGUGUUCGUGUGCGGCAAGUUGGAGACGUUCAAGGAGAUCGUGCGGCCGCUGAAGCAGACAGACACCGCACAGCGAGCCGCGCUCCUCGCCGAACGAAGGUGGCUGAAAUAGAUGUUGGUUGAGGAAGGGUCAGCGAGUGAUAAUAUGGCAUCUAGGGGAACACAUCGAAGUAACCUGGACUGAGGCACCAUACACUGAAGAACUGUUUGGUAUCUGGACUCUGGCCAAAUGAGUGAACAAAUCAUUAUGAUGGAUAAGAGGUCAACUUCUGUUUUUAGGCACCAUACACCGUAGUCUGGAAAAUUUCAGAGAUCAAUCCUCAGGGUGGAGCUUGAUUAAAGUUUCUUCUCUGAAAGAAAAUUCAGACAUUGAUGAUUGGUAUUGAUCAGAUUUUUACAGAAGUCAAUCAUGUCCUGUUUGCAAGCGCUUCUGUUGCACAAGUUCAGGCCACCACAACACAUGAUGGGGAAAGUUGCUGUUGAGAGAACGAGAACUUGACAGGAGCAAAAAGAUAUGAGAGGGUAAACACUCAUGUUGGAAUUGGACUACAUUGAGUAGGGUAGCACGAGCCACAUUAGAGGUUGACAGCUACAGAACGGGUCGACGAAUAAGGAAAAGAGGAGGGUGGGAAGAUUGGUUCUCACGAGACGAAGAUGAAGAAUAUCUCUAACCGGGAGAAAGAGAACCAAUGAAAACACGAGAUAGAUCAAAGAAGCGAGAGAAUGCCGUCAUGGUUCUUGCGUUAUGUUUGAUGUUCAACUCAACAUAAUAUCAUUAGCUACAUUUACGAAAUAAAUAUUCAUGUGAUUGUUUUGU
Molecule: long non-coding RNA, 834 nt
Organism: Brachypodium distachyon (stiff brome)
Lineage: Eukaryota; Viridiplantae; Streptophyta; Magnoliopsida; Poales; Poaceae
Exons: 6
Source: RefSeq, a predicted model, not a curated record